This 776-nucleotide ribosomal RNA is filed under the name uncultured Neocallimastigales. Its description in RNAcentral is "partial large subunit ribosomal RNA". It matches the Rfam family "Eukaryotic large subunit ribosomal RNA", at positions 26 to 632 of the family's 3401-position model. Lineage: Eukaryota; Fungi; Neocallimastigomycota; Neocallimastigomycetes; Neocallimastigales. The record is from RNAcentral.
CGUCUAUAUACGUAUAGCAUAUCAAUAAGCGGAGGAAAAGAAACUAACUAGGAUUCCCUCAGUAACGGCGAGUGAAGCGGGAAGAGCUCAAAUUUGAAAUCUUCAAGGUUUUACCUUGACGAAUUGUAGUUUAAAGAAGUGUUUUCUGUUGGAAUUUUGGUAAAAGUUCUUUGGAAAAAGACAUCAAAGAGGGUGAGAAUCCCGUAUUUGACCAUUAUUUCCAGCUUUGUGAUACACUUUCAAAGAGUCGGAUUGUUUGGGAAUGCAGUCCAAAAUGGGUGGUAAAUUUCAUCUAAAGCUAAAUACUGGCGAGAGACCGAUAGCGAACAAGUACCGUGAGGGAAAGAUGAAAAGAACUUUGAAAAGAGAGUUAAACAGUACGUGAAAUUGUCAAAAGGGAAGCGUUUGACACCAGUGUUGUUUUCUCGAAAAUCAAUUAAAAAUGGUGGGAUUUUGUGUUGUAUUGACUUUAUCAGCUUUCUGCACUUUUUUCCUAUCUUUUUUAAUGCACUUUUCGUUUAACAAGUCAACAUCAAUUUCUUUUGUUGUAAAAGAGUCAUUGGAAGGUGGCUUUCUUUUCGGAGAAAGUGUUUAUAGCCUUUGACUUCUGCAAUCGGAGAGAUUGAGGUCUGCAGCGUAGAUCCUUCGGGGUUAGAUAGCAUUUGUGCUAAGUUAUAGCCUUUCAUAGACAACUUGUUGACUAUGAUCAGUCAUGUAGCUUACUCGCUUAUGCUAUUUUACCUACGCUUUAGGAUGUUGAUCUGUAGUGCGUGCGC